Oncorhynchus masou masou (cherry salmon) is the source of this 5656-nucleotide RNA transcript. It is a transcript of the gene named cyclin-dependent kinase 19-like, with no coding region annotated. The record is from RefSeq and is a predicted model, not a curated record. The transcript is spliced from 14 exons. Lineage: Eukaryota; Metazoa; Chordata; Actinopteri; Salmoniformes; Salmonidae.
AUUAAGCGGAGCAGACCAAAAUCCCAAACAAGGAAAUGGUGGGGGAAUAAAACGACCAUAUUAUUUAAUUAAUGCAUGUUAUAAUUAAUAUUUUAUUUUAUUGUAAAUUAAGAAAUAUUUAUGGGUUCAAAUGGAUUACGACUUCAAAACAAAGCUCGCAGCCGAACGAGAGAAGGUAGAAGAUCUGUUCGAAUAUGAAGGUUGCAAAGUGGGUCGAGGCACCUACGGGCACGUUUAUAAAGCUAAGCGCAAAGACGGGGAAGAUGAGAAGGAAUAUGCACUGAAACAAAUUGAAGGCACUGGAAUAUCGAUGUCUGCUUGCAGGGAAAUCGCUCUGUUACGAGAACUGAAACACCCCAACGUGAUCGCCCUGCAGAAAGUGUUCCUGUCUCACAGUGACAGAAAGGUGUGGCUCCUCUUUGAUUAUGCUGAGCACGACCUCUGGCACAUCAUCAAGUUCCACCGUGCCUCUAAGGCCAAUAAAAAGCCCAUACAGCUGCCGAGAGGCAUGGUCAAGUCUCUCCUGUAUCAGAUUCUGGACGGGAUCCAUUACCUCCAUGCCAACUGGGUGCUUCACAGGGAUCUGAAACCAGCCAACAUUCUGGUUAUGGGGGAGGGCUCAGAACGAGGGCGAGUGAAAAUCGCUGACAUGGGCUUCGCCAGACUCUUCAACUCUCCUCUCAAACCCCUGGCAGACCUUGACCCCGUUGUGGUGACAUUUUGGUACAGGGCCCCUGAGCUUCUGCUAGGGGCCAGACAUUACACCAAAGCAAUCGACAUUUGGGCGAUUGGCUGCAUCUUUGCGGAGCUGCUGACAUCGGAGCCGAUAUUCCACUGUCGCCAGGAGGACAUUAAGACCAGCAACCCCUUCCACCACGACCAGCUGGACAGGAUAUUCAGUGUCAUGGGCUUCCCAGCAGAUAAAGAUUGGGAAGACAUCAGGAAGAUGCCAGAGUUCCCCACCCUUCAGAAAGACUUCAGGAGAACGACGUAUGCAAAUAGCAGUCUAAUCAAAUACAUGGAGAAGCAUAAAGUCAAACCUGACAGCAAGGUUUUCCUGUUGCUCCAGAAACUCCUUACAAUGGACCCCACUAAAAGGAUUACGUCCGAACAGGCACUACAGGACCCAUAUUUCCUGGAGGAUCCCUUACCAACCUCAGAUGUAUUUGCCAGAUGUCAGAUACCUUACCCAAAACGAGAGUUUCUGAACGAAGAUGAGCCAGAUGAGAAAACAGAGAAGAACCAGGUCCAACAGCACCAGCAGACGACAGCCCAGGCCCAGCAGCAGAGUGGCACCCAGCAAGCUUCUAACCAGCAGAGCUCCACCCAGACCAACGGCAAUGCAGGGGCUACUGGAGCCAACUCCGGGGGAGGCCUACAGCACGGCCAGGACCAGGGGCCCCCCAACAAGAAAUCUCGCACCGGGCCCUCAGGAGCCUCCUCAGGCACUGGGAUCCACCAGCACUCCAGCUCCCGCCUUGGUUACCAAAGCAGCAUCCAAGGUUCCACUCAGUCCCAGGGAUACUCGUCGUCAUCCCAGCAGAGCUCACAGUACUCACACCAGCCACACCGCUACUGAGGCUCUUAGAACAGGCCAGGGGCCUCUCCCAAACCAACCCUCUCCCAAAAACAAACCUUAGCAUAACCUCUCACCUCCCUCUGGCCAAGGUAUUACUGACUCCUCAUCCUGAUCAGACCUCAUUAUGUGUCAGAUAAUUCCAACAACACAACAGUCACUCAUUAUCCGCCUUCAUGUCAGCCCUACUACACCGACUGACCCUGGCCUCACUUCCAGCCAAUGUCCUCACACUUACCCACCCGAGGGCACUGCAAUAUGAAGGCCAACUCAACAUAGGAACCAAAAACAAACCCUGCCUCCUUGAGGGGUAGGACAAGAUUUUCUAUUAUCAUCAAGUGGCAAAAUGGAUUGAUACUUAACUAAGAAGGAAACACGUCAGGUGCAACUGACUAUACAACACAAAGACUAUGAACCAUGACACUUACAAAAACAUGUUCUUCAAGAGGAAGAAUUGCAGCUCUGUUCAUAUAUAAAUAUAUACUAUAUAGUACUUUUUUAUUUGUUUAACAAGAGACUUGUUUUUGCUCGUUUGCUAUGUAGAGUUUGUUUACUUUGACUGUGGAUGUUUUUGUAAAUAUUGUUCGAUAUAGAAGAAGAUGGGAUGAAACAGGAAAAUAGCCCUUUACUGUCACCACUUUCCUUCACUGUACAGUUGUUUACCCUGGAUUUCUGUUACCAGAUAACUAUUGAAUCAAAAGGAAGAAAAUGAGCCAAUCCUUUCCUGAUGACAAAAGAUCUUCUUCUGAGAUCUUCCCCUUGGCUUGGAAAUACAUUUGUACAGAAGAAAGUUAGCUCUUUAGCUGAUGUAAUUGCAGGGAAUUACGAAAUACACCAUUUUAUCUUAAUCUUGUUAUAAAAAAAACUUUUGCUUUCUAAUUUUUAGCCUUUUGUUUUUCUAGAUUUGUAGUCUGCAAGUCUGCAUUGGAAGGAACCGUUUCUCAGCCUUUCUUCAGUCUGCAGCAAGUUAUGUAAGCAUCUCUAGGUACCCCAUGUCGCCUGACCGAUAACAACUACCAAGCUACUGUUUUACUAUGAGUCAUGUCCAUCAAGGAAACAUUUGUCGGCGAAUCUGAAUGUUCUCCUUUCUGGCCAGAGGUGUUUGAGUGUGUGAGAUGCUUGUUGUGGACACCUUGGGUUGACAGGUCUUUCCAUGGACACAGACAUCACUGAAGGUGACAUCAUAUAGUGCAGCUAACAGUGUGUAUGUUCCUGAGACGGUUACUGCUUAAUAAUGUUUUAUUUUCCAUGUAUUUUUCUAGCUUUUAAUGUUUCAUUAUUGCCCUUUACAUGCUUGUAUUUCCUCUUAUUCAGUCAAAGGACUGCACUGCUGAACGGAUCUGCAAAGACCUGGAACAAAUAUGGAAAGUCUUGCACCCCAGCCUCUUCAACUCCACACCCCUGGUAUUAACCCAGGCACACAGGCCCAGUGGAUUAACAACAGCCUUCCCAGAACAGUGGCGUUUACUCGGGAACAAAACCAGCAGCUAUUGAACCUUUUUUCUCUCUUUUAUUCUAUUGGCGCAUAUCUGAAGUAUAGUUGAAGAGCAUUGAGAAUACAUUACUGUUUCUCAAUUUAUCUCUAUACAAGCGAGGUAUCAAAAGUAUUAUUCAUUGUGCGGCUCCAACAAGUGAUCGUGGGGCAAAUAACUGUUAAACAGUUCCUAUGCAAAAUCAAAGAGAAUGGUGCAAUGCUUAAAUUUUACUAUGAGAGAUUGAGAGUUUUCUUAGGGUUUUUAAAACGAUUGGGAUAUCCAUUUCCACAUAGUAAAUCUACUGUUGAACAUCGUAAUUGAAGAAGGCAUUCACUUGUUUCUUACAGCAUUGUUAAUUGUACUCUAAAUGAAAUAUUGUAAAGAAAUAUAAACUAUAUGGAUGGUAUAUGGUUGUUCCACGAGUGCCUUUUGCAUCCCUGGGAUAUUUUAAGUAGAAAUUGUGCACCAAUUCUGAAUUUUAAAAGCCUGCUAUAUUAAAUGAAGUGCCCUUUAAUAUAGACUACAUGUAGAAUUCAAUCUUUUUUUAAAUUUUAUUUUUUAUUUCACCUUUAUUUAACCAGGUAGGCUAGUUGAGAACAAGUUCUCAUUUGCAACUGCGACCUGGCCAAGAUAAAGCUUAGCAGUGUGAACAGACAACACAGAGUUACACAUGGAGUAAACAAUUAACAAGUCAAUAACACAGUACAAAAAAAGGGGAGUCUAUAUACAUUGUGUGCAAAAGGCAUGAGGAGGUAGGCGAAUAAUUACAAUUUUGCAGAUUAGCACUGGAGUGAUAAAUGAUCAGAUGGUCAUGUACAGGUAGAGAUAUUGGUGUGCAAAAGAGCAGAAAAGUAAAUAAAUAAAAACAGUAUGGGGAUCAGGUAGGUGAAAAUGGGUGGGCUAUUUACCAAUAGACUAUGUACAGCUGCAGCGAUCGGUUAGCUGCUCAGAUAGCACAUGUUUGAAGUUUGUGAGGGAGAUAAAAGUCUCCAACUUCUGGGAUUUUUGCAAUUCGUUCCAGUCACAGGCAGCAGAGUACUGGAACGAAAGGCGGCCAAAUGAGGUCUUGGCUUUAGGGAUGAUCAGUGAGAUACACCUGCUGGAGCGCGUGCUACGGAUGGGUGUUGCCAUCGUGACCAGUGAACUGAGAUAAGGCGGAGCUUUACCUAGCAUGGAGUUGUAGAUGACCUGGAGCCAGUGGGUCUGGCGACGAAUAUGUAGCGAGGGCCAGCCGACUAGAGCAUACAAGUCGCAGUGGUGGGUGGUAUAAGGUGCUUUAGUGACAAAACGGAUGGCACUGUGAUAAACUGCAUCCAGUUUGCUGAGUAGAGUGUUGGAGGCAAUUUUGUAGAUGACAUCGCCGAAGUCGAGGAUCGGUAGGAUAGUCAGUUUUACUAGGGUAAGUUUGGCGGCGUGAGUGAAGGAGGCUUUGUUGCGGAAUAGAAGGCCGACUCUUGAUUUGAUUUUCGAUUGGAGAUGUUUGAUAUGAGUCUGGAAGGAGAGAUUACAGUCUAGCCAGACACCUAGGUACUUAUAGGUGUCCACAUAUUCAAGGUCGGAACCAUCCAGGGUGGUGAUGCUCGUCGGGCAUGCGGGUGCAGGCAGCGAUCGGUUGAAAAGCAUGUAUUUGGUUUUACUAGCGUUUAAGAGCAGUUGGAGGCCACGGAAGGAGUGUUGUAUGGCAUUGAAGCUCGUUUGGAGGUUAGAGAAAUGACUUUGAUUAUUAUAUGAAUAAAGGCUUGCUAAUGUGCGAAAAUCCUGUAUUUUGACAGGUCCCUCAGUUAACCCUGUGUCACUUAUAGGAAGAUUUCAAACCACUUAAUCCAAACAUUUCUCCAAGUUUCACCAUUAUUGUAAAGCCCUGGUUAUUUUGUUGCUUUGACAAAGUCAUUUCUGAAGAUUAUUAUUUAUUUCAUGUGAUUAGUUAUUCAUUUACGUCUAUCCCUCAUUUUAAGGUCAACCCUGUUAUGUGAACUCAACUCAAUUUUUAAUGUGGUGAAACUAUUCCUUCUCAAAACAAACAUUGAACAUCUAAUAGUCAAAUCAUAGUGUAAAAUCAGGUGAGCUGGUUCUACUCUUUUUGGCCAUUUUCUGUUGUUUUGUGGUGGAAAAUUGAGCUGUCGAGCAUAAAAGUCAACCCUGUUACCCGUAGAUAUACAGACUAGAAAUGUUUUAGCAAUUUCUUAUUUUUUUUUGUGAAGCUUGCAUUUAAUUGCCACUCCACAUGCACACAACAUGAUUCCAUUCCGCCUGUCACAAUGGGAUUUAUGGCUGAUUUAAGAUUAAAUUGUCAACCAUGUUACGGUCAACCGUGUUACCUUAUUUGGCACUUAAUAGGCACUUGCUAUAGUAAACUUGUUUUUAAAUUUAAAAUCUUGAGUUGGGAAAACAUAUUUUUUAUAAAGUUGAACAUGUGCUCUCUAUGACAGAAUGUUAGAAUUAGGUAAAAUCCCCCCAAAAUAUGGACCAAGUUACACUUCUCAAAUGGCACCGAGAUGGUGGAACAACCCAUACAUUAUACAAUCAUACAGUUGAAGUUGGAAGUUUACAUACACUUAGGUUGGAGUCAUUAAAACUCAUUUUUCAACCACUCCACAAAUUUCUU